RNAcentral lists this ribosomal RNA (465 nucleotides) under uncultured bacterium. Its description in RNAcentral is "partial 16S ribosomal RNA". It matches the Rfam family "Bacterial small subunit ribosomal RNA", at positions 28 to 507 of the family's 1533-position model. The record is from RNAcentral.
GACGAACGCUGGCGGCGUGCUUAACACAUGCAAGUCGAACGGAAAGGCCCCUUUGGGGGUACUCGAGUGGCGAACGGGUGAGUAACACGUGAGUAACCUGCCCUUGACUUCGGGAUAACUUCAGGAAACUGGGGCUAAUACCGGAUAGGAAUCCUUGCUGCAUGGUGGGGGUUGGAAAGCUUCGGCGGUUUUGGAUGGACUCGCGGCUUAUCAGCUUGUUGGUGGGGUAGUGGCUUACCAAGGCUUUGACGGGUAGCCGGCCUGAGAGGGCGACCGGCCACAUUGGGACUGAGAUACGGCCCAGACUCCGACGGGAGGCAGCAGGGGGGAAUAUUGCACAAUGGGCGGAAGCCUGAUGCAGCAACGCCGCGGGCGGGAUGACGGCCUUCGGGUUGGAAACCGCUUUCAGCAGGGGCGAAGCUUGUGGUGACGGUACCUGCAGAAGAAGCACCGGCUAACUACGUG